This is a long non-coding RNA of Podarcis raffonei (Aeolian wall lizard), 2440 nucleotides long. RefSeq lists it as uncharacterized. NCBI's taxonomy places the organism in Eukaryota, Metazoa, Chordata, Lepidosauria, Squamata, Lacertidae. The record is from RefSeq and is a predicted model, not a curated record. The transcript is spliced from 3 exons.
AACAGGUUGUCUACAAGCUAACUCAGCCUCAUAUACGCAGGCUUGUUGUGAAGGCCUGCAUACCUCCUUGCCGCACAGCCCUCAGUUGUGCUUUGGAAUUGCAAUAAUCUUGUAAGGCAGGUCAGUAGCAGUCCUCUCUAUACUUAUCUAGGAAGCAGCACUCAGAAAGAAAUAUGGUAUGAUUUGUGCCCCUUCACCCUGCACACAUUGCUGGCUUUCCUCUCUGGCAGCACAACCUACAAUUUAUUAUAGCUGUUGUAUGGACAGAAAGAGAACUUGAGGAGACUUUGCACAGGUCUGCGGGGCUUCAGGUGCACCUUGAAAGGCAUGAAAUCAUCUAAUGAAACUUCUGUCAGAAACAAAUUUUAUAUAAAACCUGACAUUUGUUAAGACCACCUCUCGGAAGGGGAUGUUUGCUUUCAGUUGUUUAUAUGCACCCCAAUAACCCCAGUCUCAGAAAAUUUUCUUGUGCAAAAACUUUUUGUACAAAUCCUAGACUAGUGGCACUCAGAGUAGACCCAACGAAGUUAAUAGGUACAACUAAGAUUAAUGCUAUUCUUUAAAAUUAGCUGAAUGCAACUCUUAAUUGAAAAGUGUCUUCUUGCAAAUUAAUGCCCUCUUGCAAAAUAAUUUGGCAUGUGGAGCAUACAUGCGACUAUCAAAGAAUCACUGGAGAGAAUAAUUUUCAAACUACACAAGCCAAACAUCUGCACUAUCCCUCAUUUUCUAAAAUUAGAGCAAUCUAAACUGUUGUAUAUAAUCAAGAGCACUCAGUACUAAUAUUGUGAUUAUUUGGCAGAAGUAGCUAUAGCUAAGAGCUGUUCCUAGGAAUUAUGCCAAGACUAAUCUUGAAAAGGAGAACUGUUUGGCUGUAUACCAUCAAGAGCCAGGGCAGAGGAAGGGGGGAAAUGGAGGUUAUGGAGCUUGGUUUGAUUUUAAUGAAUUUCUAGGUUCUUUAUUGUGUAACCAUCAGAAUUAUUUUUUGAAAGUGUAGAAAACAGAGAUACCACAAAUGAAGCCUAAUGCUAUGGAGUAAGCUCCACUGACCCCAUUAGGGCUUAUUUUAAAAUAAGUAUACACCAAAUCGGAGGAAAGUCAUGUAUUUAAAAGGGAAGAUCAUUAUAUAACCUUAUUGUAGGAGCUACAGAGAAAAGAAACUGGCCACCUUCUCUAAGUUUUGUUCCAAUACCUUCUUGUUAUAUUUCUUCUAGAGUUGUGAGUUGAAGCUGUUGGCAAGCCAGGAUAAUAUCUGACAGAUUAGCCAGCAGGGACCUCUCCAUGAAUGGCUCUUUGCCCAUGUGCUUCCCAACAAUGAUUGCUCAUGCAAAAUUCUUAAAGGAAGAUACUCUGGGGGAUUUCAAAUGCAUGCCAAGCGGCAUCACCAGCUGAGCUCAAAAUUUCCAUCUGCAAGCAGAGACAAGCAUGUUGUUUGGAUGUAAAUUCCACUGAAAUGAAUGGGGCUUGCUUACAACUGAAUAUGUUUAAGAUCUGGUUACAGGAGCAGAUGUGUUGUGUUUAUUUCUCCUCCCCCAGAAAACCAGCUGCUUCUCACGGCAAGUUAAAUAUGCAUGAUAGUGAAUUAGUUAACGGUAGAGUCUCAAUGGGUCUUAUUAUCGUAUCAUACCUGAAGCACAUCUCUACAAACUCCCAAAGAUUCUGUGAGGAUUCACCAAAUGUUAACAGAUCCAUGUUAAGCUGUAAUGUUUUUAGUUAACUCCACAUUAUCCACAACGUAAAAGACUGUCAGUCAGAAAAUACAGUGUUCGUGGUAAUGCUUUAUAGUGCACAGUUGCCUUCCUGAGAAUGUCUGCCUGCCUCAUUUCCCUCCCCAAGUUCUCAGAAUAGCCACCGUUGUGUAUUUUUUCAUGCACCCAGCAUGACACACGUGAGAUACAGACUUGCACAGCUAGACAAAGAAAAUAGGUUGCAUUUCAGUCCCGACUUUUGUGUGAAAGUGCCCCGGGGGACACUGUCAUGCGGAAGUAUGAAUAUAUGAUAAGACCAAGCCAUAAAGUUGCUCACAAAAAAGAAAAAGAAAAAUGCUUUUCAGUUCAGUGAUAAGAAAUUGUGACAGUAUUGAAAAUAGAAAGUAUGCCCAUCCCUAAGGGCUUUUGUAAGAUAACACAACAAACACAUUCUGAUAAAAACCAUCAGUGCUGAGUAAUGCUUGACGCUGCCAUUCCAAUUCACUCAUAAGCUGGUCUGGAAACAAAAUAGCAUGGCUGGGCUCCAUUCUCCAAUUUGUAGGUAUAAACUUGGGCUAAUCUGAAAUCAUGAGUAUCUGCAGGGGGAAUGGGCAACAGAGGGCACCUGCCCUGCCUCACUGGAAUCAUAUAUAAACACAGAGAUACACUACGGUUGCCAGAUUUUUUUCAAUGAAUCCGGGGACACAUUUUUUUUAAAAAAAAAUUGGAAGCUGAGUAGUAGCAACAGGGAGUCA